UACGUAGGCAGCAAGCGUUGUUCGGAGUUACUGGGCGUAAAGAGUGCGUAGGUGGUGCCCUAAGUCUGUUGUGAAAUCUCCCGGCUUAACUGGGAGGGUGCGGUGGAAACUGGGGUGCUUGAGUGUGGGAGAGGUAAGCGGAAUUCUUGGUGUAGCGGUGAAAUGCGUAGAUAUCAGGAGGAACACCGGUGGUGUAGACGGCUUACUGGACCACGACUGACACUGAGGCACGAAAGCGUGGGUAGCAAACAGG
This 253-nucleotide ribosomal RNA is filed under the name uncultured bacterium. Its description in RNAcentral is "partial 16S ribosomal RNA". It matches the Rfam family "Bacterial small subunit ribosomal RNA", at positions 524 to 776 of the family's 1533-position model. The record is from RNAcentral.